RNAcentral lists this ribosomal RNA (482 nucleotides) under uncultured Rhodococcus sp. RNAcentral describes it as "partial 16S ribosomal RNA". The record is from RNAcentral. Lineage: Bacteria; Bacillati; Actinomycetota; Actinomycetes; Mycobacteriales; Nocardiaceae.
CACGUAGUUGGCCGGUGCUUCUUCUGCAGGUACCGUCACUUGCGCUUCGUCCCUGCUGAAAGAGGUUUACAACCCGAAGGCCGUCAUCCCUCACGCGGCGUCGCUGCAUCAGGCUUGCGCCCAUUGUGCAAUAUUCCCCACUGCUGCUUCCCGUAGGAGUCUGGGCCGUGUCUCAGUCCCAGUGUGGCCGGUCGCCCUCUCAGGCCGGCUACCCGUCGUCGCCUUGGUAGGCCAUUACCCCACCAACAAGCUGAUAGGCCGCGGGCCCAUCCUGCACCGAUAAAUCUUUCCACCACACGGCAUGCACCGCGCAGUACUAUCCGGUAUUAGACCCAGUUUCCCGGGCUUAUCCCGAAGUGCAGGGCAGAUCACCCACGUGUUACUCACCCGUUCGCCACUCGUGUACCCCGAAGGGCCUUACCGUUCGACUUGCAUGUGUUAAGCACGCCGCCAGCGUUCGUCCUGAGCCAGGAUCAAACUCU